Molecule: ribosomal RNA, 254 nt
Filed under: uncultured bacterium
Lineage: Bacteria
Description: partial 16S ribosomal RNA
Rfam family: Bacterial small subunit ribosomal RNA
Source: RNAcentral
UACGGGGGGGGCAAGCGUUGUUCGGAAUUACUGGGCGUAAAGGGCUCGUAGGCGGCCAACUAAGUCAGACGUGAAAUCCCUCGGCUUGACCGGGGAACUGCGUCUGAUACUGGAUGGCUUGAGUUUGGGAGAGGGAUGCGGAAUUCCAGGUGUAGCGGUGAAAUGCGUAGAUAUCUGGAGGAACACCGGUGGCGAAGGCGGCAUCCUGGACCAACACUGACGCUGAGUGAGCGAAAGCCAGGGGAGCAAACGGG